AACGAACGCUGGCGGCAGGCCUAACACAUGCAAGUCGAGCGCGCCCUUCGGGGUGAGCGGCGGACGGGUGAGUAACGCGUGGGAACGUGCCCUUCUCUUCGGAAUAGCCUCGGGAAACUGAGAGUAAUACCGCAUACGCCCUUUGGGGGAAAGAUUUAUCGGAGAAGGAUCGGCCCGCGUUGGAUUAGGUAGUUGGUGGGGUAAUGGCCCACCAAGCCGACGAUCCAUAGCUGGUUUGAGAGGAUGAUCAGCCACACUGGGACUGAGACACGGCCCAGACUACUACGGGAGGCAGCAGUGGGGAAUCUUAGAAAAUGGGGGCAACCCUGAUCUAGCCAUGCCGCGUGAGUGAUGAAGGCCUUAGGGUUGUAAAGCUCUUUCAGCUGGGAAGAUAAUGACGGUACCAGCAGAAGAAGCCCCGGCUAACUCCGUG
This 433-nucleotide ribosomal RNA is filed under the name uncultured bacterium. RNAcentral describes it as "partial 16S ribosomal RNA". It matches the Rfam family "Bacterial small subunit ribosomal RNA", at positions 29 to 507 of the family's 1533-position model. The record is from RNAcentral.